ACCCUUUUGCUGUGAAGAUACACAAUUCUCAAUCCUUUUUUCUGAGCCACAGAAAAUCUUAUCUUUCAGCUGGUGACACUUUUAGGAUAAAGACUUUUUUCCCUUAGGGGAACCUCAGAGCUUAUCUAAUAAGGACUCCCUGGUUCAAACUUCCAAGAUCUGUAUAGGAAAUAGCUAGGGAUUUCCAUUUCCCUCUGUCCUCAUCACUCUUCAACCCUUUAUACCUAAAUAAAUAGACAUCUCGAUUUUUAAUACAGACUUCAAUUAGUUUCAAUGUGUUAGGAGGGGAACUUCAAAGAACAUCAUUUAAAGAAGGAAGACUGAGGGGAAAUUAACUUACCCUUUCAGUCCAGUCAGAACUGACUCCAUUUGUUAACAGCACAACUUAGGGGAAAAAGGAGGAAGGAAGUGGUAUUAUUUUAUAUUUAUUCCCCAAGUAGCUGACAACUUCGGUUCCUUCUCAAUUUCCCCACUAAUACAGGGUACUCCAUGAACUCCAAAGCUACAGUAGACCAGAGAUGAUUCUAGGAUUGUAUGGAGUCCCCCAUCUCUGCUCCAGAGGAAAUCUAAUAGCAACUUCAUUAGCAUACCAAAGAAUCUUAGCAGUAGAUAGAAAGCAAACAAGGACAGAUCUAACCAUCAGAAGCAACUGGACUUGAAUCUUCAGGCUGAACCAAGAAAGAGGCAUACCACACCAGACUGGGCUGACAAGCUCCUUCCUCCUCCAACACCAGGCAGCCAGUCCCCAGCUGGCAGGAAGGAAGUGCUAGUCACAAGACCCAACUGCCACUCCCAGUUGGGCCCUUCCUCCACAAACUGUCAGUCUUGUUUCCUUUCCACAAUAUGGCUAUGACAGGACAUGCCUGAAAUUUUCACUUUGCAGAUUAUUUGGUUAUCAUUAUCCAAGCAUUGCCUUUUGUCAUUCUCUGAUAAAAAUCUAUUGUUGUAAAAUAUUUUAGGGGAGUUAGCUUUCCAUUUUCUUACUAGGUAAGGUGUAUUCUGUUUGAACUUAGCUUCAUGAAUUACAGCCUGGCUCUAACUCAAUUAAGGAACCUUAACAGACUUUAUGACCUUCAAAUGAAAAACAAAAAAGGAAUUUGCCAGUGACACAAAUCUACUAAAUGGC
This 1126-nucleotide long non-coding RNA is filed under the name Monodelphis domestica (gray short-tailed opossum). RNAcentral's name for it is "lncRNA (ENSMODG00000036918.1)". Lineage: Eukaryota; Metazoa; Chordata; Mammalia; Didelphimorphia; Didelphidae. The record is from RNAcentral.